GAAAAACCACACUAAUGGUCAAGUUUAAGAAUAAGACAUCUCUAGUUUUUUACAUCACAACACCUAGCACCCUUUUCACUAUAAAUAACCCUGUUUAAGCAACAUCAAUACUAAUCUAUAAUCAACUUUUCACUCUUUUAACAGCUAAACCUCUAUCUCUCCAGCUAUUUUACAAUGUUGGUUGGAUGCCUUCUGAAUGGUAUCUGUAGAAUACACCAGGGUUUUUGAAGACUAAGGAGAUAUACAUGGACAAUAUCUGCUGCAUUUUCAAUCAAUUUAUGAAUGCAUCAGCAAUGGUAUAUGACCGAGCAUUAAAUAUAGGCAAGUGAGCUCCGGUCAUGAUCUGGUUGUGGACGGCCUCUAGUAGGAGUAGGCGGUCUUUGAAUGUUGAGUUCCUGCAUCCAAGUGUCAUCCAUGACUCGUUCUGGAGACGUUUCAGGGGAUAGAAGAGGAGGCGGCAAAGGAUGGAUCAACUUUGGAACAACAACCAACCCUCUGCCUACAACUAGUAUAGCACCAGCAUUGUUGGCAGUUCCACAAUAGUUGGUGGCAGAAAAAAGAGUGAUCAGCUGCCCUUGGGCAAAUCUUUCAAAUCCAUCCAUGACACACUCGUGUGCUCUAAUAAUCAGCUGUAGUUUGUUUCUCUUACAAAAUUCAGUUACACGAUCAGGCCCAAAUGUUACAAGACCAGGUCCUCUGGCAUUAGGUCUUAAUCCUUCUACACUGUCAUUUUC
RNAcentral lists this unclassified non-coding RNA (734 nucleotides) under Hevea brasiliensis (rubber tree). Lineage: Eukaryota; Viridiplantae; Streptophyta; Magnoliopsida; Malpighiales; Euphorbiaceae. The record is from RNAcentral.